This 508-nucleotide ribosomal RNA is filed under the name uncultured bacterium. Its description in RNAcentral is "partial 16S ribosomal RNA". It matches the Rfam family "Bacterial small subunit ribosomal RNA", at positions 28 to 507 of the family's 1533-position model. The record is from RNAcentral.
GACGAACGCUGGCGGCGUGCCUAAUACAUGCAAGUCGAACGCUUCUUUCCUCCUGAGUGCUUGCACUCAAUUGGAAAGAGGAGUGGCGGACGGGUGAGUAACACGUGGGUAACCUACCCAUCAGAGGGGGAUAACACUUGGAAACAGGUGCUAAUACCGCAUAACAGUUUAUGCCGCAUGGCAUAAGAGUGAAAGGCGCUUUGGGGUGUCGUUGCUGGAUGGACCCGCGGUGCAUUAGCUAGUUGGUGAGGUAACGGCUCACCAAGGCCACGAUGCAUAGCCGACCUGAGCGGGUGAUCGGCCACACUGGGACUGAGACACGACCCAGACUCCUACGGGAGGCAGCAGUAGGGAAUCUUCGGCAAUGGACGAAAGUCUGACCGAGCAACGCCGCGCGAGUGAAGAAGGUUUUCGGAUCGUAUAACUCUGUUGUUAGAGAAGAACAAGGACGUUAGUAACUGAGCGUCCCCUGACGGUAUCUAACCAGAAAGCCACGGCUAACUACGUG